Molecule: transfer RNA, 76 nt
Filed under: Caldalkalibacillus thermarum
Lineage: Bacteria; Bacillati; Bacillota; Bacilli; Caryophanales; Bacillaceae
Description: tRNA-Met
Rfam family: tRNA
About the family: Transfer RNA (tRNA) molecules are approximately 80 nucleotides in length.
Source: RNAcentral
GGACCCUUAGCUCAGUUGGUAGAGCAGUCGGCUCAUAACCGAUCGGUCACAGGUUCGAGUCCUGUAGGGUCCACCA